UCCCUGGUGGUCCAGUGGUUAAGACUCUGAGCUUUCAAUGCAGGGGGCUGGGGUUCGAUUCCUGGUUGGGGAA
This 73-nucleotide transfer RNA is filed under the name Bos taurus (domestic cattle). It matches the Rfam family "tRNA". Rfam says of the family: Transfer RNA (tRNA) molecules are approximately 80 nucleotides in length. Their secondary structure includes four short double-helical elements and three loops (D, anti-codon, and T loops). Further hydrogen bonds mediate the characteristic L-shaped molecular structure. tRNAs have two regions of fundamental functional importance: the anti-codon, which is responsible for specific mRNA codon recognition, and the 3' end, to which the tRNAs corresponding amino acid is attached (by aminoacyl-tRNA synthetases). tRNAs cope with the degeneracy of the genetic code in two manners: having more than one tRNA (with a specific anti-codon) for a particular amino acid; and 'wobble' base-pairing, i.e. permitting non-standard base-pairing at the 3rd anti-codon position. The record is from Rfam by way of RNAcentral. RNAcentral also lists the same sequence under 3 other names. Lineage: Eukaryota; Metazoa; Chordata; Mammalia; Artiodactyla; Bovidae.